GACGAUCGCUGGCGGCGUGCUUAACACAUGCAAGUCGAACGGUGAAGCCCUUCGGGGUGGAUCAGUGGCGAACGGGUGAGUAACACGUGAGCAACCUGCCCCUGGCUCUGGGACAACCACUGGAAACGGUGGCUAAUACCGGAUACGACCCGCCUCGGCAUCGAGUGUGGGUGGAAAGUUUUUCGGCUGGGGAUGGGCUCGCGGCCUAUCAGCUUGUUGGUGAGGUGAAGGCUCACCAAGGCGACGACGGGUAGCCGGCCUGAGAGGGCGACCGGCCACACUGGGACUGAGACACGGCCCAGACUCCUACGGGAGGCAGCAGUGGGGAAUAUUGCACAAUGGGCGAAAGCCUGAUGCAGCGACGCCGCGUGAGGGAUGACGGCCUUCGGGUUGUAAACCUCUUUCAGCUCCGAAGAAGCGAAAGUGACGGUAGGAGCAGAAGAAGCACCGGCUAACUACGUG
This 462-nucleotide ribosomal RNA is filed under the name uncultured bacterium. Its description in RNAcentral is "partial 16S ribosomal RNA". It matches the Rfam family "Bacterial small subunit ribosomal RNA", at positions 28 to 507 of the family's 1533-position model. The record is from RNAcentral.